RNAcentral lists this unclassified non-coding RNA (364 nucleotides) under plant metagenome. Its description in RNAcentral is "partial contains small subunit ribosomal RNA, internal transcribed spacer 1, and 5.8S ribosomal RNA". The record is from RNAcentral.
UCUCCGUAGGUGAACCUGCGGAGGGAUCAUUAACACGUUUAUGAAAUAAACAAAACUAAAUUUAUAGCCUUGGUAGUAAGGGCCUGAAAAUGCAGCUUGUCUGCGGUUCCUCGUGCUUAUUACUUUGGCUCUGUGAACUUCGAAGGUAGGUUUAAUGCUGGGUUCUUUUGACUUUGCAUUAGAUUUUACCAUAUUUUUUUUUACAAACUCUUGUAAAACCUAACUUUCAUUUGAACAGCUUCUCUUGACGAGCUGUGCUAAUCUAAUUUCUGCUUUUUUUCUUCAAAUUCUCACUAAACAUGAGACUGUGAAAAAAAUCAAAUUAAUCUAAGAACAACUCUUAGCAAUGGAUAUCUUGGUUCUC